RNAcentral lists this ribosomal RNA (546 nucleotides) under uncultured bacterium. RNAcentral describes it as "bacterial SSU rRNA". It matches the Rfam family "Bacterial small subunit ribosomal RNA", at positions 356 to 896 of the family's 1533-position model. The record is from RNAcentral.
GGGGAAUAUUGCGCAAUGGGGGCAACCCUGACGCAGCCAUGCCGCGUGAAUGAAGAAGGCCUUCGGGUUGUAAAGUUCUUUCGGUGACGAGGAAGGUUGUUGUGUUAAUAGCACAACAAAUUGACGUUAAUCACAGAAGAAGCACCGGCUAACUCCGUGCCAGCAGCCGCGGUAAUACGGAGGGUGCGAGCGUUAAUCGGAAUAACUGGGCGUAAAGGGCACGCAGGCGGCUAUUUAAGUGAGGUGUGAAAUCCCCGGGCUUAACCUGGGAAUUGCAUUUCAGACUGGAUAGCUAGAGUACUUUAGGGAGGGGUAGAAUUCCACGUGUAGCGGUGAAAUGCGUAGAGAUGUGGAGGAAUACCGAAGGCGAAGGCAGCCCCUUGGGAAUGUACUGACGCUCAUGUGCGAAAGCGUGGGGAGCAAACAGGAUUAGAUACCCUGGUAGUCCACGCUGUAAACGCUGUCGAUUUGGGGAUUGGGCUUUAAGCUUGGUGCCCGUAGCUAACGUGAUAAAUCGACCGCCUGGGGAGUACGGCCGCAAGGUUA